GUAGGUGGCAAGCGUUGUCCGGAAUUAUUGGGCGUAAAGCGCGCGCAGGCGGGUUCUUUAAGUCUGAUGUGAAAGCCCACGGGCUCAACCGUGGAGGGUCAUUGGAAACUGGAGAACUUGAGUACAGAAGAGGAAAGCGGAAUUCCACGUGUAGCGGUGAAAUGCGUAGAGAUGUGGAGGAACACCAGUGGCGAAGGCGGCUUUCUGGUCUGUAACUGACGCUGAGGCGCGAAAGCGUGGGGAGUAAACAGGAUUAGAUACCCUGGUAGUCCACGCCGUAAACGAUGAGUGCUAAGUGUUAGGGGGUUUCCGCCCCUUAGUGCUGCAGCUAACGCAUUAAGCACUCCGCCUGGGGAGUACGGCCGCAAGGCUA
RNAcentral lists this ribosomal RNA (373 nucleotides) under uncultured organism. Its description in RNAcentral is "partial 16S ribosomal RNA". It matches the Rfam family "Bacterial small subunit ribosomal RNA", at positions 527 to 896 of the family's 1533-position model. The record is from RNAcentral.